RNAcentral lists this transfer RNA (55 nucleotides) under Loxodonta africana (African savanna elephant). It matches the Rfam family "tRNA", at positions 10 to 63 of the family's 71-position model. Rfam says of the family: Transfer RNA (tRNA) molecules are approximately 80 nucleotides in length. Their secondary structure includes four short double-helical elements and three loops (D, anti-codon, and T loops). The record is from Rfam by way of RNAcentral. Lineage: Eukaryota; Metazoa; Chordata; Mammalia; Proboscidea; Elephantidae.
GCAGAUUGUUAAUGUGCUUGGCUGCUAACCAAAAGAUUGGUGGUUGGAGUCCACC